AAUAGAUACCCAGGUAGUCCACGCCGUAAACGAUGAGUGCUAAGUGUUAGAGGGUUUCCGCCCUUUAGUGCUGCAGCUAACGCAUUAAGCACUCCGCCUGGGGAGUACGGUCGCAAGACUGAAACUCAAAGGAAUUGACGGGGGCCCGCACAAGCGGUGGAGCAUGUGGUUUAAUUCGAAGCAACGCGAAGAACCUUACCAGGUCUUGACAUCCCACUGACCGGUAUAGAGAUAUACCUUUCCCUUCGGGGACAGUGGUGACAGGUGGUGCAUGGUUGUCGUCAGCUCGUGUCGUGAGAUGUUGGGUUAAGUCCCGCAACGAGCGCAACCCUUGAUCUUAGUCGCCAGCAUUUAGUUGGGCACUCUAAGGUGACUGCCGGUGACAAACCGGAGGAAGGUGGGGAUGACGUCAAAUCAUCAUGCCCCUUAUGACCUGGGCUACACACGUGCUACAAUGGAUGGUACAAAGGGCUGCAAGACUGCGAAGUCAAGCCAAUCCCAUAAAACCAUUCUCAGUUCGGAUUGCAGG
Molecule: ribosomal RNA, 529 nt
Filed under: uncultured bacterium
Lineage: Bacteria
Description: bacterial SSU rRNA
Rfam family: Bacterial small subunit ribosomal RNA
Source: RNAcentral